GUAGGGGCGUUUUACUCAGAAAAUGGGGUAUGUUCCAACAUCACCAAGCCUAGUAUUCUGGAAACGACAGGUACAGACAUCAAAGAAACGUCGUCUGAAAACAUUCUUGCAGAUGACCUCGAAUGGCACACAUUUGUGCGAUAUCUACGUAUAUAAAACUUUGACAUUGAAUAUCUCCUGGGACUUGACUUUCAGGAAUAUUAAGCAUGGACGUUCCUUGUUUCCUCAAAAGGAGUGCGGAGGCUUUCAUUUCAGAAGGCAUAAAAUAUAAAAUUCCCUUUGGACUUCUCCAUUUUUUAACUCUUGGUUAGCCUAUCUGGCAACCUAUGGCACGUAUGGCAGCAAUAAAAGUUGUAAAUAUGUAGUCAAAAUGGUCUACCAGCAUAAAGCACAGUGGAAAAUAUAGCGUUAUCAGAGCUUAAUCGUAAUUGGCUAAUUGCACUGAAACAUCGGGAAAAUUGAAUCUUAAACAUUUACAGCUGCGUCCCGCUGGCUCCCCAAGAAAGCUCAUAGAGAAAUUCAACUGAAUAUGAAUAAUUGAAGUAUCUUUUAUGGGCUGUAAAAUUCUGCUUUCUUAACUACGCCAUUGGUAUGAAGUCGAAGAGGUUUCUCGACUUCCAGAUUGGAUGUUUUGAAUCUUUUUCGGGUCUUUCCGUCAUAGUUUUCUACAGGGUGAAGGAAAAACCCCGGAUCUGCAAGCUCUGCUGAGUGCCGCUGUACAGAUUCACAUGGAUUCGAUGUACAUGUGAAAUCAGUUAAGCUGCAUCUGCAUUAGGGCUACACACACUAUAAUGGAAGGAAAGUAAUGAACGAGAAAGAAUGAGUCCACAAAAGCGAAACGGGAGGCAAAAAAAUCAAAUUUUCCAAAUGCAGUCGCGAAAUCACGUGUUGUGGCUGCUUCAAUAAGAAGACAAAAAAAAUCUAACUUUUCCUCACAAUAUGCCACAGACAACAAUACAGACAGUCACUGGGGUCUACGAACGGUUUUCUAGUUUGUGGUAAUCGUACAGCAAAACCAAAUGUAAAUGUUGCAUUUUCCUCCUAUAUUAAAGAAAUACAACAAUAUAACAUUUUUUUCAAAA
Molecule: long non-coding RNA, 1082 nt
Organism: Daphnia magna
Lineage: Eukaryota; Metazoa; Arthropoda; Branchiopoda; Diplostraca; Daphniidae
Exons: 2
Source: RefSeq, a predicted model, not a curated record